This 650-nucleotide ribosomal RNA is filed under the name uncultured bacterium. RNAcentral describes it as "bacterial SSU rRNA". It matches the Rfam family "Bacterial small subunit ribosomal RNA", at positions 8 to 653 of the family's 1533-position model. The record is from RNAcentral.
AGAGUUUGAUCAUGGCUCAGGAUGAACGCUAGCGGGAGGCUUAAUACAUGCAAGUCGAACGGUAACAUUGGAGCUUGCUCCAGAUGACGAGUGGCGCACGGGUGAGUAACGCGUACACGACCUACCUUUAAGAGGGGGAUAGCCUCGGGAAACUGAGAAUAAUACCCCAUGUGGUUAAUUUAACUAAAAAGAUUAAUUAAAGGCUUCGGCCGCUUAGAGAUGGGUGUGCGGACUAUUAGAUUGUUGGUGAGGUAACGGCUCACCAAGUCGCCGAUAGUUAGGGGGCGUGAGAGCGUGAUCCCCCACACGGGUACUGAGACACGGACCCGACUCCUAUGGGAGGCAGCAGUAAGGAAUAUUGGACAAUGGAGGAAACUCUGAUCCAGCCAUCCCGCGUGCAGGAUGAAGGCCCUCUGGGUCGUAAACUGCUUUUAUAUACCAAGAAUAGCAGUGAUGUAUGAUUGUUUCAGGGGAGUAUAUGAAUAAGCACCGGCUAACUCCGUGCCAGCAGCCGCGGUAAUACGGAGGGUGCAAGCGUUAUCCGGAAUUACUGGGUUUAAAGGGUGCGUAGGCGGUUUAAUAAGUCAGAAGUGAAAAGUCCGAGCUCAACUGGGGCCUUGCUUUUGAUACUGUUAGACUUGAAUCAGGCU